Long non-coding RNA from Pan troglodytes (chimpanzee), 6798 nucleotides. RefSeq lists it as uncharacterized. The record is from RefSeq and is a predicted model, not a curated record. Lineage: Eukaryota; Metazoa; Chordata; Mammalia; Primates; Hominidae. The transcript is spliced from 10 exons.
AGAAGAGCUUUAUUGCAAAGCAAAAAGUACACACUCAAGAAAGGGGAGCUCGGGCAUACCUGAGAGAGAAUAAUGGGUUCUGGGGUUUCAUCUUGAUGGGUUUCUUUAACCAAGAAUUGGAAUAUUCACGAAAAUUCCUGGGUAAAGGUGGAGAUUUCUUGGAACUGUGGUGCCAUUUUUACAUCAAACACUGGUCUCAGAACUGUCAUGGCACUGGCGGGUGUGUGAUUUAGUAUGUUAAUGAGCAUAUAAUGAGGGCCUAGGUAAAACCUCCAUCAAAUCCAGUACCACGUUGGGUCCACUCAGUCUUAGCCAGCUUGGUCCACACCCUGGUUUUUCAGCGUCUUAACAGCCCACAGCCUCAAGUCAUGUAAAUCUGCUGCCUAGAAUUUGUUAUCCUGUGACCACCCUGUAGUAUUCCUGUCUGAAAUCUACUUGUAAAUAUUCAAAUGGUCUUUGACUUGGGCAUUCCAACUUUGCUUACUUCACAGUGUUUCCUGCGUAAUAUAUAAGAAAAGAUGAUCCAGACAUUUGUUAAACAUCUCAAAUAAGAUGUAGCCCAGGUAUUUGUGUCAAAUUUGGAUUAUUUUGGUUUCGUCUUUGCAGAAUAUAAAAAACUAACAUGAGGUAAGCACUAAGGUGUGGAGAUGGCUGUGCAAGAGAUGACAAAGUCCAGCACCACACUUGAGAGUGUCCAAUCAUCUCUUCUGGGGCAGCAUAGUUUUCUACAAUACGGAUUUUUGAAAAAAAAAACAUCAAAAAAAAACCUACAAGAUUCAUGAAACUGGACAACUGUCUUUAUAACAUUACCAGUGAUAAAACAAGUAAGGAAGGCUGGUUUGCAGUCAUCUGAGCAGCCUCUUUACUUUCAUAAAUAUGGUUUCUCUCUGAUAUUAAACGGCUUCCAAUUGCAAGCGGAAUGCUGCAUCACAAGGAUAAGGAUGUGAAGAGAACCGGUUUCUUUUGUAAUCCGAAAUAUUCUAGUCUGCGAAUUAAAAGCCAUUAUUUGAAGAAGGAUGCCCCGGCUCCAUCUGGCCACCGAAAGGUUGCUCCUUAACACAGGCUAAGGACCAGCUUCUUUGGGAGAGAACAGACGCAGGGGCGGGAGGGAAAAAGGGAGAGGCAGACGUCACUUCCCCUUGGCGGCUCUGGCAGCAGAUUGGUCGGUUGAGUGGCAGAAAGGCAGACGGGGACUGGGCAAGGCACUGUCGGUGACAUCACGGACAGGGCGACUUCUAUGUAGAUGAGGCAGCGCAGAGGCUGCUGCUUCGCCACUUGCUGCUUCGUCACGAAGGAGUUCCCGUGCCCUGGGAGCGGGUUCAGGACCGCUGAUCGGAAAUUCUCCAGUACAAGAAGAGGUUCUCGGAGCUGGAGCAGCUGUUGGAGAGAUCCGGAGAGCUGGAGCAGCAGCAGCUGAGGGACACAGAGCACAGCCAAGACCUGGAGAGUGCCCUCAUCUGGCUGGAGGAGGAGCAGCAGGGAGGGCCAGGGCUGGCGGCAUGGCCCCCUGGGCGAGCGCCUACUGAUCCCCUGUGCCCCAUUCAGGAGUGCCAGCCUGGCCCAGGUGAAUGCCAUGCUCUGAGAACAGCUGGACCAGGCAGGUUUGGCCAACCAGGCUCUGAGUGAGGAGAUACGAAAGGUGACCAGUGACUGGACUCACAGCUGCAAGGAGCUGGAGCGGUGGGAAGCGGCAUGGAGGCGCGAGGAGGAGGGCUAGUAGAAGUCUAUAUGUUGUGGUGGAAAACAACCUCAGCCCUAUAGUCCAACAUUUGCCUAUCAAAACUUGUCCUGUGAUUUACAAAACUAGAACCUCACUGAUUCUCCAGUACAAGAAGAGGUUCUCGGAGCUGGAGCAGCUGUUGGAGAGAUCCGGAGAGCUGGAGCAGCAGCAGCUGAGGGACACAGAGCACAGCCAAGACCUGGAGAGUGCCCUCAUCUGGCUGGAGGAGGAGCAGCAGGGAGGGCCAGGGCUGGCAGCAUGGCCCCCUGGGCGAGCGCCUACUGAUCCCCUGUGCCCCAUUCAGGAGUGCCAGCCUGGCCCAGGUGAAUGCCAUGCUCUGAGAACAGCUGGACCAGGCAGGUUUGGCCAACCAGGCUCUGAGUGAGGAGAUACGAAAGGUGACCAGUGACUGGACUCACAGCUGCAAGGAGCUGGAGCGGUGGGAAGCGGCAUGGAGGCGCGAGGAGGAGGGCUAGUAGAAGUCUAUAUGUUGUGGUGGAAAACAACCUCAGCCCUAUAGUCCAACAUUUGCCUAACAAAACUUGUCCUGUGAUUUACAAAACUAGAACCUCACUGAUUCUCCAGUACAAGAAGAGGUUCUCGGAGCUGGAGCAGCUGUUGGAGAGAUCCGGAGAGCUGGAGCAGCAGCAGCUGAGGGACACAGAGCACAGCCAAGACCUGGAGAGUGCCCUCAUCUGGCUGGAGGAGGAGCAGCAGGGAGGGCCAGGGCUGGCAGCAUGGCCCCCUGGGCGAGCGCCUACUGAUCCCCUGUGCCCCAUUCAGGAGUGCCAGCCUGGCCCAGGUGAAUGCCAUGCUCUGAGAACAGCUGGACCAGGCAGGUUUGGCCAACCAGGCUCUGAGUGAGGAGAUACGAAAGGUGACCAGUGACUGGACUCACAGCUGCAAGGAGCUGGAGCGGUGGGAAGCGGCAUGGAGGCGCGAGGAGGAGGGCUAGUAGAAGUCUAUAUGUUGUGGUGGAAAACAACCUCAGCCCUAUAGUCCAACAUUUGCCUAACAAAACUUGUCCUGUGAUUUACAAAACUAGAACCUCACUGGUAAGUCACAUUCCUAGAGUCUCCCCCAUCCCUAACCCCAGUCACGGAAAAUAAAUCAAAUCAUUGUCACUCUUUCUUAACAAAGAGCGUACAUUUAAAACUUGAGUAAAAUUACAGGUACCGUCUGCGGCCUUCAAGGGGGAACUUGAAGUCUCAAUACCGCAGUUGUCCAAUCAGAGGAUCCAAGAUGAAUAUACUCAAGGACUUCAUGCUUGGCAUCCUCUGGAGACAGUACAUAACCACCAGCUUGGUUUAACCGGAGAUUCAUUUGGGUUAGGAGAAAUUAUGUAGGCAAUGUACUUAGUCAAUGGAGGCCUUAUGCCUGAAGACUUACAAGAAUCUGAAUUCGUAUGUUACUUUUCCUUUAAUGGAGUGGAAUUCCAAAUGAAAAUAAUCAAACAGCAUGUGCAUAAACAUUAGAUAUCAUACCCACAUUUACAAAGCCUUUAUAGAUAUGCAAGUGUUACUGCGUCUGUCCCUAGCUUCUGUACAGAAUUUAAUGGGUAGCUGUUACUAUUUUAUUGUUGUAUAAAAAUGAGGAAACUGAUAAGUUGUCUAAAGGUGCACAAUCAAAACACAUCAAAGCCAUUGUGAAAUACAGGUCCCCGGAUUUCAAAAACAGAUCUUCUGCUUAUAAAUUCAGUCUUUUUCAUACUGCCAUAAACUCCAGAAUGGGAAAACAAAGUUACUAUCAGAAAAGCUGCUUUCAGCUGGGCGUGGUGGCUCAUGCCUGUAAUCGCAGCACAUUGGGAGGCCAAGACAGGCGGAUCACUGGAGGUGGGGAGUUCGAGACCAGCCUGGCCAACAUGGUGAUCUCCACUAAAAAUACAAAAAUUAGCUGGGCAUGGUGGCGGACACCUGUAAUUCCAGCUACUUGGGAGGCUGAGGCAGUAGAAUCGCUUGAGCUGGGGAGGCCGAGAUGGCUUAGUGAUCCGAGAUGGCGCCACUGCACUCCAGCCUGGAUGACAGAGUGAGCCGACAUCGCGCCACUGCACUCCAGCCUGGGUGACAGAGUGAGACUCCAUCUCAAAAGAAAAAAGAAAGCUUAUUUUUUCCCCUAAUCAGCAUAAUAUUCACUAUGAAGUGAUGGAAAUAGAAAUAAUUUACUUAGCAAAUCCUUUCUAGUUCAAAUAAUUUGUAUAUAGGCUGUGCAAACAUAAUAAUGAGAGAUUCUUUUUAGUCAUCUUGCUUUAUAUCACUAAUUACACUCUUAUUUAAUGAUAUUUUAAAGAAAAACGUGUUUAUUUUCAAGUAGAAAAGUCAUAUAUGUCCACCAAGGAAAGCUGUAACAAAUGUAAAAUACAUAAAAAAGAUAACAGCUAAAUUUCUAAAGCAUUCAAAAAAAAGACAAAUAGAAGGGUGUCAGAUUAGGAAAGUAUGUCUUGUAAGGUGUGAUGGACAGACUGAUUAGCUUAGAGAUGUGGAUCUCAAAGUGGUUCUCAGAGCAACAGCAUCAGCGUCACCUGGGAACGUGUUAGAAAUGCAGAUUCUCAGGUACCAUCCCACAUUUAAUGAAUCAGAAGCUCAGAGUAGAGACCAGCAAUUUGUUUUAACAAGUCCUUCAGGGAUUCUGAUACAGCUGAUGUUUGAGAAACACUAGAUUUAGGUAAACGUAAGAGGGUCACGUUAGUAUUUUUAAAUCAUUGGAAGUUGGUUUGUUUUGUUUUUUCUUAAGUGGGACUCAUUUGUACUUCAAUACACAGAAUGGAUAUUUAGAGGAAGUCGUUUUUGACCUAACACAGAUGAGCACUUCCAAUUGAACAGCGCUUUCUGAUAAUGGGGCUGCCCCCUACAAGUGAAUAACUGGGUUUCUCUAGGCUGGAGCUGCAGACAGGUCACUAUGUGUAUGGAGGAUUGUAUUAAUAUGAUCGUGGCUCUUUAUAGCUCUGCAUUACUAAUAUUCUGUUUUAAAGUCUCUCCUCAAUAUCCAACGUCUCUGUGUUAAUGAUGGUAAGGAGUGGGUAACAGUAACAAUCAUCCUGUUGUUGACAACAGAUGAUAAGAGAAAGCCCAACUUUACACUCUGUAUAAUCUUACACCGAUGCCCCAUUCCUCGUCUAAUUUUUUUUUUACAUGUUAACACAUGACCUUGGCAUUACUAAAUAAGAAGCCCUCUCACUUAGAACCCGAUGCAGUAUGAUAAAAAUUAUUUUGAGAACAAUCAGGAGCUCUAGUUUUCAAUUCUGCUUCUCUUCUCAAGUAGUUCUGUGCCUUAGUUUCUUCUUUGUAAAUUUAAAUGGUUGGAACAGAGGAUCUGUUAAGUGUGAUUCAAGCUGAAAUUGUAUGUACCCCACACUGAGUUUCUCUGCUAUACCCCUAACCCAUUCAACAAUCACACCACCAGUUUUCAGGACUCACAGUAGGAUAGCCGUCUAUCAUUUGUUAAUAGGUGUGCUCUUUCAUCCAAACAAGAAACUCAUGAUUUCUGCAGUUUUUUAUUCUAGCCAGGUUCUAGGUGCUGGCCUGGAACUAUAAAACGAACAUUUCACAAAAAGUUAUGACAAUAUACAAAGGAAAGACAAUUUCUUUGAAUAUCCAUAAUCUCAAUAUGGAGUCUGGCUGUGGAUGGCCAAGAGAUAGUUUCCUUAACUGGAAAAAGUUUUUAAAUGAGGCUUGGUGGAGGAUAUAUCUUUGCAUCAUUACAAAGAAGAAAAAAGAGAAAUCUCACAACUGAAGAAAGUGAAAUCCACUUUACUUAAUGCGGACCUCUGUCUCUGGUGUGCAGGUCCUCUGUGUCCAAAGAUAAUUAGCACUUUAUAAUGCUAAUUAUUAUAAUUAUGUCUGAGAAAAAAAUCAUUAGGGGGUAGGCCCGUUCACUGAUUUUCAACUGCCCCCUCUAUUUAAAAAUAAGGUCAUUUUUCUAUGAAAUAGCUUUAGGAGCUCAAAGCAGAAAGAGGGUUAUAGAAAAUCCUGUGUAGGUAUAAGCCUGCGUUUUUAAUAUUCUUAUAAUUCUGUGAUGUGUCUGGAAACUGAACCGGGAGGAAAACAGUGAACCUAUUUAGUCCAGGAGACUAGAAAUCAGGACUCAGAAGAGUAAACAUUUCUGUAAUAGUUAGUCCUCAAAUAGUCAUUCAUUGACCUUCCACUGGGUGUCUGGCAAUGUGCAAGCUGUUUCUAGAUGCUACCUCAUGUAACAACCAUCACAGUUGCACAGAGCAAGUACUAGUACUCCACUUUCACCGAUAAAGAAGUAAAAUCUUAGAAAUUAGCUGCCCAAUGUCAUGUAUGUAGGAAAGGAAAGCUGGAUUCUGAUUCAUAUUUGCUGGCUCCAAAGCACUUGUUGUAAAUACUUCACUAUCCUGUGCUUACAUGUAAAUGUACCAUUUCUCUUAGGGGUCUUGAAAUACUGAACCAAAGAAUGGUGUAGGGGAAGGGCAGUUUAGAAAUACCUGGAAAUUUGGUUGUUUGAAGGAAGCCCACUCUCAGAUGGUAGGAGAUCAAGCUAACAGAAUAGCUGAGACCAGGCUAAGGACCAGCUUCUUUGGGAGAGAACAGACGCAGGGGCGGGAGGGAAAAAGGGAGAGGCAGACGUCACUUCCCCUUGGCGGCUCUGGCAGCAGAUUGGUCGGUUGAGUGGCAGAAAGGCAGACGGGGACUGGGCAAGGCACUGUCGGUGACAUCACGGACAGGGCGACUUCUAUGUAGAUGAGGCAGCGCAGAGGCUGCUGCUUCGCCACUUGCUGCUUCGUCACGAAGGAGUUCCCGUGCCCUGGGAGCGGGUUCAGGACCGCUGAUCGGAAGUGAGAAUCCCAGCUGUGUGUCAGGGCUGGAAAGGGCUCGGGAGUGCGCGGGGCAAGUGACCGUGUGUGUAAAGAGUGAGGCGUAUGAGGCUGUGUCGGGGCAGAGGCAGAGGAUCUCAUACUUACCUGGCAGGGGAGAUACCAUGAUCACGAAGGUGGUUUUCCCAGGGCGAGGCUUAUCCAUUGCACUCCGGAUGUGCUGACCCCUGCGAUUUCCCCAAAUGUGGGAAACUCGACUGCAUAAUUUGUGGUAGUGGGGGACUGCGUUCGCGCUUUCCCCUGA